UUAAUGGAACUCCCUUACACGCAGCGGCUAAAGGUGGAUUCAUCAACAUAGUUAAAUUGUUAUUAGAAAGAGAAGAUACAGACCCAAAUAAAGAAAACAUGUAUAGUGGUGAUACUCCUUUACACUCAGCUGUAAAUGGUGGACAUCCCGACAUAGUGCAAUUGUUAUUAGAAAGAGCAGAUAUAGAUCCAAAUAAAGAAAAUGUGGCUGGUGACACUAUUUUACACUCAGCUGCUAGAGGUGGACACCUCAACAUACUUCAGUUGUUAUCAGAAAGAACAACAAUCGAUCCAAAUAGAGAAAAUAAGGUAUUGAAUGAGGUUCUUUUCAGGAUUGUCCGACUUUGUUAAAUUGUCCAUCAAAAUCAAAAUCAACACAAUGUUGCUUAUCAAAUCAAUACACAUCUAUGCAAAAUACUAGAUAUCAGAGGGGUAAAAGCAAUUAUAUUCAGACAACUACAACAACAAAAAAAUACUAAGACAAACGUCAUUCAUGAAGUCAGGUAUAUACAGCCACUACGUAUUUGAUUAAAGUCUAAAGUUGGUAACCCUGCAUAACUGAAGAUGUAAUACUGUUGCAAAAAAAAAAAAAAAAAAAAAAAAAAAAAAAUGAACACAACAAAUUAAAUUAUACGAAACUGAACAUAUGAUACAGAUUAAAAAAACAAGUCCUAUCAUAUAUUAGCAAAUGCUUUUUGAAUAAAAAAAAACCAAACAAACAAACACAAAAACUCGUUAAUUUCGUUUUCUUUUGUAGUCUGUAGAACAGCAUAUAUUAAUUAGCUGUUUCUUAUAAUUGCACGA
Mytilus californianus (California mussel) is the source of this 803-nucleotide long non-coding RNA. RefSeq lists it as uncharacterized. The transcript has 3 exons. The record is from RefSeq and is a predicted model, not a curated record. Lineage: Eukaryota; Metazoa; Mollusca; Bivalvia; Mytilida; Mytilidae.